RNAcentral lists this transfer RNA (72 nucleotides) under Phrynosoma platyrhinos (Desert horned lizard). RNAcentral's name for it is "tRNA-OTHER". It matches the Rfam family "tRNA". From Rfam's summary of the family: Transfer RNA (tRNA) molecules are approximately 80 nucleotides in length. Their secondary structure includes four short double-helical elements and three loops (D, anti-codon, and T loops). Further hydrogen bonds mediate the characteristic L-shaped molecular structure. tRNAs have two regions of fundamental functional importance: the anti-codon, which is responsible for specific mRNA codon recognition, and the 3' end, to which the tRNAs corresponding amino acid is attached (by aminoacyl-tRNA synthetases). tRNAs cope with the degeneracy of the genetic code in two manners: having more than one tRNA (with a specific anti-codon) for a particular amino acid; and 'wobble' base-pairing, i.e. permitting non-standard base-pairing at the 3rd anti-codon position. Lineage: Eukaryota; Metazoa; Chordata; Lepidosauria; Squamata; Phrynosomatidae. The record is from RNAcentral.
GCCAAUGUGGCAUAGUGGUUUGAGUGUUGGACUACAACUACAGAGACCAGGGUUCAAAUCCCAGCUUAGCCA